AAAAAAUCAGUGCGAAGCGGACAUUCAAACAAUCACAAGUAAUAUUAAGCAAAUGCCGACAGUCAUCUGCAUUUGUAUGUUGUGUGAUCACGUGUCAGAAGUAUGAUCGGCUCGUGGCGAUCUUGUGUUGACCAGGAGUAACGGGACCUAUUAAAAAUCUUUACUUACAAAUUAUUAAUCACCGUUUUCGUCAAACAUUUCGUGCGGGAAGCACAAGCGACAACGCCUCAGUAGCAAAUGUACAUGUUGGAGGGCGGUCGAUUUUGUCGCAGGCGACUACUAGAAUAUUACGCCAACUCUCCAUUACGUUGUCUCUUCGAAACAAUAUUCAGAUGCGGAACUUGAAAGAUACGAAGAAAGAAUGAAGAUACUAUACCAAGGAAAAAGUUCACAACUUUCUUCAUCACUGAUUUAAGUUAGCAAUGCAGUACAUCAUUUUAUUAAAAGAAAUGCCUCGUCAUUUGUCUGGUAUUCAUCACUGAUUUAGAUGGAAGCCUAUCGAGUCUGGUCAGAAAAGCAAGCCUUGAGAAAAUGUACGAGUGGGUGGAUGGCUUCAAUUAUAAAAUUCCAAUUCCACAUUUUAAAAAGUAUUUCAUACGAGAUGAAUACACCUCCAUCAAUUUCAAUGAACUAAAGCAGAUAGAAGAUGAAUACAAAAAACAAACCGAUAAUUUAUAUGAAGGAUUUCAUAUUAUAUGUGAUGCUAACGAAGUAAGACUUCUUGGAAGCUGUAAUCCUCCAGUAUUCUGGUUUGUGGAAUAUUCAAAACUCAGAGACAGCUAUUAUUAACUCUCUUUUUCUCGUAUUCACAUUUACUUUUGUGGUGUGUUAAUACAUGUAA
Non-coding RNA from Styela clava, 841 nucleotides. The record is from RefSeq and is a predicted model, not a curated record. Lineage: Eukaryota; Metazoa; Chordata; Ascidiacea; Stolidobranchia; Styelidae.